This 73-nucleotide transfer RNA is filed under the name Myotis davidii. It matches the Rfam family "tRNA". Rfam says of the family: Transfer RNA (tRNA) molecules are approximately 80 nucleotides in length. Their secondary structure includes four short double-helical elements and three loops (D, anti-codon, and T loops). The record is from Rfam by way of RNAcentral. Lineage: Eukaryota; Metazoa; Chordata; Mammalia; Chiroptera; Vespertilionidae.
GCCUGUGUGGCUCAGUGGAUAGAGCAUUGGCCUACAGACUGAGGGGUCCCCGGCUCGAUUCCGGUCAAGGGCA